CCUGCAGCGUGAAACGCUCCGCCGAGCCACGAGACCACAACACGAACUUACAGGGAUCCCCGUCCACACUGUCCUGCAUCGCCAGGAAAACUCUGCGCUCUUUACUGCGAGACAAAACUCCUCCGUCCUGCUCCCAAACACAGAAGGUCUCCUGCUGCAGCAGCUUCCCCUGAGACGUCAACUUCCCCUGCAGGACACACACACAGGGUGUUUCCGGUCCCAGAGCCGCUGCGUUUUGGCCCUGGCGAGCCGACAGCGCCCCCUGGAGCCCCGCCCACUCCAUACACUGUUGGGGAGAUCACACCUGAGAGAGGAAAACAAGACGAGGGUCAACCGAGGUCAUGAUGAGCUCACUGUCUGUAUGGAAGUGACAUCGGGCAAACACGGGAAGCGGCGGCAGCGGCGGCGGCAGAUGGAGGAAGGAGUGACAGAAAAACAUCAUUUCUACGAUGUUGACACUUGUCAUCAAGUCUGAUCGCUUUAACUUUACUGAACAAAGAACAAAAAGUUCAACUGAAGCUGCAGCUGAUGAUGGGAUUAAACAGAACUACAACUAUCAAUACUUUACAUUACGACAUUUUACCACAUUGUACACUGACAGGAAGAGAGAUGUUAUCCAGACACUCACCCCUCCCGGCGCUGACAGCAGAGGAGGAGUUGGAGACGUUGGAGGAGGAGGUGG
Long non-coding RNA from Thunnus maccoyii (southern bluefin tuna), 682 nucleotides. RefSeq lists it as uncharacterized. The record is from RefSeq and is a predicted model, not a curated record. NCBI's taxonomy places the organism in Eukaryota, Metazoa, Chordata, Actinopteri, Scombriformes, Scombridae. The transcript has 5 exons.